Molecule: non-coding RNA, 281 nt
Organism: Schizosaccharomyces pombe (fission yeast)
Lineage: Eukaryota; Fungi; Ascomycota; Schizosaccharomycetes; Schizosaccharomycetales; Schizosaccharomycetaceae
Source: the annotation of a GenBank genome assembly
CUGCUGUUUUAUUUAGUGUUUGUAGGUUUUUUUCAUCCCAAAGACUUUACGGAGCAGCAGGAGAUUGAAUGAAAACUAAAAGGCAGUGGCUUGUUUUACUUUAUGAAGUUUACUGUAAGAGAAGUUUCCCACAUAUUUUUAUCCAUAUGUGUUUACUUAUUAAACGUUAUUUUAGUAGCUUAGGUUAAAUGGAUAUGCAAUUUUUAGAGCCAGGAUUAUUGUAUUUCAUCUGUUUUAUUGUUCAUAUUUAAAUUUUCAUGCAAAUUAGGACUAUGGAGGGU